GUCAAGUGAAUAAGAGCACGUGGUGGAUGCCUUGGCAAUGAUAGGCGACGAAGGACGUGAUAGCCUGCGAUAAGCUUCGGGGAGCUGGCAAAUUAGCUUUGAUCCGGAGAUUUCCGAAUGGGGAAACCCACCGAAAGGUAUCGCAUGAUGAAUACAUAGUCAUGCGAGGCGAACCGGGUGAACUGAAACAUCUCAGUAGCUCGAGGAAAAGACAUCAACCGAGAUUCCGAAAGUAGUGGCGAGCGAAAUCGGAGAAGCCUGUUAGUGAUAGCACAAGACAUAACGGAACAGCUUGGAAAGGCUGGCCAUAGCGGGUGAUAGCCCCGUACGUGAAAUGACCUGUGUGGUACUGAGCUAACGACAAGUAGGGCGGGACACGAGAAAUCCUGUCUGAAUAUGGGGGGACCAUCCUCCAAGGCUAAAUACUCAUCAUUGACCGAUAGCGAACUAGUACCGUGAGGGAAAGGCGAAAAGAACCCCGGGAGGGGAGUGAAAUAGAUCCUGAAACCGCGUGCUUACAAAAAGUAGGAGCCUCGUAAGGGGUGACUGCGUACCUUUUGUAUAAUGGGUCAGCGACUUACAUUCAGUGGCAAGGUUAACCGAAUAGGGAAGCCGUAGAGAAAUCGAGUCCGAAUAGGGCGAUCAGUCGCUGGGUGUAGACCCGAAACCAAGUGAUCUAUCCAUGGCCAGGAUGAAGGUGCCGUAACAGGUACUGGAGGUCCGAACCGACUAGUGUUGCAAAACUAGCGGAUGAGCUGUGGAUAGGGGUGAAAGGCUAAACAAACUUGGAAAUAGCUGGUUCUCUCCGAAAACUAUUUAGGUAGUGCCUCAAGUAUUACCAUCGGGGGUAGAGCACUGUUUUGGCUAGGGGGUCAUGGCGACUUACCAAACCAAGGCAAACUCCGAAUACCGAUGAGUACAGCUUGGGAGACAGAGCACCGGGUGCUAACGUCCGGACUCAAGAGGGAAACAACCCAGACCGCCAGCUAAGGUCCCUAAAAUUGGCUAAGUGGGAAACGAAGUGGGAAGGCUAAAACAGUCAGGAUGUUGGCUUAGAAGCAGCCAUCAUUUAAAGAAAGCGUAAUAGCUCACUGAUCGAGUCGUCCUGCGCGGAAGAUGUAACGGGGCUAAGCCAGUUACCGAAGCUGCGGAUUUGCAAUUUAUUGCAAGUGGUAGGAGAGCGUUCUGUAAGCCUGUGAAGGUGCGUUGUAAAGCGUGCUGGAGGUAUCAGAAGUGCGAAUGCUGACAUGAGUAGCGUUAAAGGGGGUGAAAAGCCCCCUCGCCGUAAGCGCAAGGUUUUCUACGCAACGUUCAUCGGCGUAGAGUGAGUCGGCCCCUAAGGCGAGGCAGAGAUGCGUAGCUGAUGGGAAACAGGUCAAUAUUCCUGUACCGAUGUGUAGUGCGAUGUGGGGACGGAGAAGGUUAGCUCAGCCGGGUGUUGGAUGUCCCGGUUCAAGCCUGUAGUCAUAUUUGGUAGGCAAAUCCGCCAGAUUUAGAUGAGGGGUGAUAACGAGGAAGCUUGCUUCCGAAGUGAGUGAUACCCUGCUUCCAGGAAAAGCCACUAAGCUUCAGCUACACACGACCGUACCGCAAACCGACACUGGUGCGCGAGAUGAGUAUUCUAAGGCGCUUGAGAGAACUCAGGAGAAGGAACUCGGCAAAUUGACACCGUAACUUCGGAAGAAGGUGUGCCCUAUUAGUGUGUAGUGAACAACGAAGCACGAAUGGGUUGCAAAAAAUCGGUGGCUGCGACUGUUUAUUAAAAACACAGCACUCUGCAAACACGAAAGUGGACGUAUAGGGUGUGACGCCUGCCCGGUGCUGGAAGAUUAAAUGAUGGGGUGCAAGCUCUUGAUUGAAGUCCCAGUAAACGGCGGCCGUAACUAUAACGGUCCUAAGGUAGCGAAAUUCCUUGUCGGGUA
RNAcentral lists this ribosomal RNA (1922 nucleotides) under Gloeochaete wittrockiana. RNAcentral's name for it is "partial Bacterial large subunit ribosomal RNA". It matches the Rfam family "Bacterial large subunit ribosomal RNA", at positions 1 to 1978 of the family's 2925-position model. The record is from RNAcentral. Lineage: Eukaryota; Glaucocystophyceae; Gloeochaetales; Gloeochaetaceae.